Molecule: ribosomal RNA, 450 nt
Filed under: uncultured Sphingobacteriales bacterium
Lineage: Bacteria; Pseudomonadati; Bacteroidota; Sphingobacteriia; Sphingobacteriales
Description: bacterial SSU rRNA
Rfam family: Bacterial small subunit ribosomal RNA
Source: RNAcentral
CGGUGGAGCAUGUGGUUAAUUCGAUGAUACGCGAGGAACCUUACCUGGGCUCAAAUGUAUGUUGACGUAUUCUGAAAGGGAUACUUCUUCGGACAAUAUACAAGGUGCUGCAUGGUUGUCGUCAGCUCGGUGCCGUGAGGUGUCGGGUUAAGUCCCAUAACGAGCGCAACCCCUAUCAUUAGUUGCCAUCAGGUCAAGCUGGGGACUCUAAUGAAACUGCCUACGCAAGUAGUGAGGAAGGUGGGGAUGACGUCAAAUCAGCACGGCCCUUACGUCCAGGGCUACACACGUGCUACAAUGGCCGGUACAGAGCGCAGCGAGGCCGCGAGGCGGAGCGAAUCGCUUAAAGCCGGUCCCAGUACGGAUUGGAGUCUGCAACCCGACUCCAUGAAGUUGGAAUCGCUAGUAAUCGCGCAUCAGCAUGGCGCGGUGAAUACGUUCCCGGGCCUU